AAGCCUUUCACCUUCCAACAUGAUUGUGAGGCCUCCCCAGCCACGUGGAACUGCAGUCGAGUUCCAUACAUUUAUUUCAACCCUUCUUGAACCUACCCAUGUGGAAGGCAGAAGCGCUGGGACAUGACCACCCAACUCAGCUCUGAAGCAGCCCUCACACAAUGACGGGUUAACAUCAUGCUACUUGAUAAGCACCCUCGGAACUACAAAUUGAAAGAAUACUAAGAGAAGCAAGAAAAUGGACGCUUAGCCCUGAUGGGAAAUCAUACCUCGUUUCGUGACAAUCUAUUACAUUCAUGUCAAGAGGAAAGGUUGGACAACUUAUUUGUCUUUUCUCUUACCUAAGUCGUUCGUCUGCUCAAAUC
This 365-nucleotide long non-coding RNA is filed under the name Homo sapiens (human). RNAcentral describes it as "HSALNT0243641". The record is from RNAcentral. Lineage: Eukaryota; Metazoa; Chordata; Mammalia; Primates; Hominidae.